Molecule: ribosomal RNA, 642 nt
Filed under: uncultured Actinomycetes bacterium
Lineage: Bacteria; Bacillati; Actinomycetota; Actinomycetes
Description: bacterial SSU rRNA
Rfam family: Bacterial small subunit ribosomal RNA
Source: RNAcentral
CGCGGCCUAUCAGCUUGUUGGUGGGGUAAUGGCCUACCAAGGCGACGACGGGUAGCCGGCCUGAGAGGGUGAUCGGCCACACUGGGACUGAGACACGGCCCAGACUCCUACGGGAGGCAGCAGUGGGGAAUAUUGCACAAUGGGCGAAAGCCUGAUGCAGCGACGCCGCGUGGGGGAUGACGGUCUUCGGAUUGUAAACUCCUUUCAGUAGGGACGAAGCGAAAGUGACGGUACCUGCAGAAGAAGCACCGGCCAACUACGUGCCAGCAGCCGCGGUAAUACGUAGGGUGCAAGCGUUGUCCGGAAUUACUGGGCGUAAAGAGCUCGUAGGCGGUUUGUCACGUCGUCUGUGAAAUCCUCCAGCUCAACUGGGGGCGUGCAGGCGAUACGGGCAGACUUGAGUACUACAGGGGAGACUGGAAUUCCUGGUGUAGCGGUGAAAUGCGCAGAUAUCAGGAGGAACACCGGUGGCGAAGGCGGGUCUCUGGGUAGUAACUGACGCUGAGGAGCGAAAGCAUGGGGAGCAAACAGGAUUAGAUACCCUGGUAGUCUAUGCCGUAAACGGUGGGCGCUAGGUGUGGGGUCCUUCCACGGAUUCCGUGCCGUAGCUAACGCAUUAAGCGCCCCGCCUGGGGAGUACGG